CCACCACCAAAGCAUUUGCUGUACCGCGUUGACGGAGCGAAGCGACGUCAAACCGAUAAAACAGCAGUGUAAAGUGAGCCGCAGGGCGCUUUGCGCGACAGCGCAAAGGCAGGCGGUUUCGCGUAGCGAAAGCGAAUGCUUUGGGGUGGGGUGACUGCGUACCUUUUGUAUAAUGGGUCAGCGACUUAUAUUCUGUAGCAAGGUUAACCGAAUAGGGGAGCCGGAGGGAAACCGAGUCUUAAUUGGGCGUUAAGUUGCAGGGUAUAGACCCGAAACCCGGUGAUCUAGCCAUGGGCAGGUUGAAGGUUGGGUAACACUAACUGGAGGACCGAACCGACUAAUGUUGAAAAAUUAGCGGAUGACCUGUGGCUGGGGGUGAAAGGCCAAUCAAACCGGGAGAUAGCUGGUUCUCCCCGAAAGCUAUUUAGGUAGCGCCUCGUGAAUUCAUCUCCGGGGGUAGAGCACUGUUUCGGCUAGGGGGCCAUCCCGGCUUACCAACCCGAUGCAAACUGCGAAUACCGGAGAAUGUUAUCACGGGAGACACACGGCGGGUGCUAACGUCCGUCGUGAAGAGGGAAACAACCCAGACCGCCAGCUAAGGUCCCAAAGUCAUGGUUAAGUGGGAAACGAUGUGGGAAGGCCCAGACAGCCAGGAUGUUGGCUUAGAAGCAGCCAUCAUUUAAAGAAAGCGUAAUAGCUCACUGGUCGAGUCGGCCUGCGCGGAAGAUGUAACGGGGCUAAACCAUGCACCGAAGCUGCGGCAGCGACACUGUGUGUUGUUGGGUAGGGGAGCGUUCUGUAAGCCUGUGAAGGUGUGUCGUGAGGCAUGCUGGAGGUAUCAGAAGUGCGAAUGCUGACAUAAGUAACGAUAAAGCGGGUGAAAAGCCCGCUCGCCGGAAGACCAAGGGUUCCUGUCCAACGUUAAUCGGGGCAGGGUGAGUCGACCCCUAAGGCGAGGCCGAAAGGCGUAGUCGAUGGGAAACGGGUUAAUAUUCCCGUACUUGGUGUUACUGCGAAGGGGGGACGGAGAAGGCUAUGUUGGCCGGGCGACGGUUGUCCCGGUUUAAGCGUGUAGGCUGGUUUUCCAGGCAAAUCCGGAAAAUCAAGGCUGAGGCGUGAUGACGAGGCACUACGGUGCUGAAGCAACAAAUGCCCUGCUUCCAGGAAAAGCCUCUAAGCAUCAGGUAACAUCAAAUCGUACCCCAAACCGACACAGGUGGUCAGGUAGAGAAUACCAAGGCGCUUGAGAGAACUCGGGUGAAGGAACUAGGCAAAAUGGUGCCGUAACUUCGGGAGAAGGCACGCUGACACGUAGGUGAAGUGAUUUACUCAUGGAGCUGAAGUCAGUCGAAGAUACCAGCUGGCUGCAACUGUUUAUUAAAAACACAGCACUGUGCAAACACGAAAGUGGACGUAUACGGUGUGACGCCUGCCCGGUGCCGGAAGGUUAAUUGAUGGGGUCAGCGCAAGCGAAGCUCCUGAUCGAAGCCCCGGUAAACGGCGGCCGUAACUAUAACGGUCCUAAGGUAGCGAAAUUCCUUGUCGGGUAAGUUCCGACCUGCACGAAUGGCGUAAUGAUGGCCAGGCUGUCUCCACCCGAGACUCAGUGAAAUUGAACUCGCUGUGAAGAUGCAGUGUACCCGCGGCAAGACGGAAAGACCCCGUGAACCUUUACUAUAGCUUGACACUGAACAUUGAGCCUUGAUGUGUAGGAUAGGUGGGAGGCUUUGAAGUGUGGACGCCAGUCUGCAUGGAGCCGACCUUGAAAUACCACCCUUUAAUGUUUGAUGUUCUAACGUGGACCCGUUACCCGGGUUGCGGACAGUGUCUGGUGGGUAGUUUGACUGGGGCGGUCUCCUCCUAAAGAGUAACGGAGGAGCACGAAGGUUGGCUAAUCCUGGUCGGACAUCAGGAGGUUAGUGCAAUGGCAUAAGCCAGCUUGACUGCGAGCGUGACGGCGCGAGCAGGUGCGAAAGCAGGUCAUAGUGAUCCGGUGGUUCUGAAUGGAAGGGCCAUCGCUCAACGGAUAAAAGGUACUCCGGGGAUAACAGGCUGAUACCGCCCAAGAGUUCAUAUCGACGGCGGUGUUUGGCACCUCGAUGUCGGCUCAUCACAUCCUGGGGCUGAAGUAGGUCCCAAGGGUAUGGCUGUUCGCCAUUUAAAGUGGUACGCGAGCUGGGUUUAGAACGUCGUGAGACAGUUCGGUCCCUAUCUGCCGUGGGCGCUGGAGAACUGAGGGGGGCUGCUCCUAGUACGAGAGGACCGGAGUGGACGCAUCACUGGUGUUCGGGUUGUCAUGCCAAUGGCACUGCCCGGUAGCUAAAUGCGGAAGAGAUAAGUGCUGAAAGCAUCUAAGCACGAAACUUGCCCCGA
Molecule: ribosomal RNA, 2373 nt
Filed under: Salmonella enterica subsp. enterica serovar Enteritidis
Lineage: Bacteria; Pseudomonadati; Pseudomonadota; Gammaproteobacteria; Enterobacterales; Enterobacteriaceae
Description: partial 23S ribosomal RNA
Rfam family: Bacterial large subunit ribosomal RNA
Source: RNAcentral